RNAcentral lists this long non-coding RNA (254 nucleotides) under Panax ginseng (ginseng). RNAcentral's name for it is "long non-coding RNA (PGIN_LNC013981)". Lineage: Eukaryota; Viridiplantae; Streptophyta; Magnoliopsida; Apiales; Araliaceae. The record is from RNAcentral.
AUAUCUGUACCAUCUCUUCAGGGUCUUGCCUGAACCGUUCUGGUUGCUGCUGUUACUUUCACUAUCUAAAGAUGAGUUCUUCUCUACAUACCUUCUGGAGUUGUACAUAUCUGGUGUAAAAGGCUCUUUUAAUUGAAUUAGAUGAGUUCUUCGUGAUGUGCAUGGGGAAAUAAUUGAAUUAGAAAUAACAUGUCUUUUAACUUGAGCUAGAGGGAAAAGCCGAGGAAUAUGACAACAACUGAUUUGUGGCAGGC